RNAcentral lists this ribosomal RNA (251 nucleotides) under uncultured prokaryote. RNAcentral describes it as "partial 16S ribosomal RNA". It matches the Rfam family "Bacterial small subunit ribosomal RNA", at positions 524 to 774 of the family's 1533-position model. The record is from RNAcentral.
UACGAACCGUCCGAACGUUACUCGGAAUCACUGGGCUUAAAGGGUGCGUAGGCCGCGCGGAGGGUGGGAUGUGAAAUCCCCCGGCUCAACCGGGGAAUAGCGUCCCAAACCGCCGUGCUCGAGGGAGACAGAGGUGAGCGGAACUGAUGGCGGAGCGGUGAAAUGCGUUGAUAUCAUCAGGAACACCAGUGGCGAAAGCGGCUCACUGGGUCUUUCCUAACGCUGAGGCACGAAAGCUAGGGGAGCGAACG